This 74-nucleotide transfer RNA is filed under the name Triticum aestivum (bread wheat). It matches the Rfam family "tRNA". Rfam says of the family: Transfer RNA (tRNA) molecules are approximately 80 nucleotides in length. Lineage: Eukaryota; Viridiplantae; Streptophyta; Magnoliopsida; Poales; Poaceae. The record is from Rfam by way of RNAcentral.
AGCGAGGUAGAGGAAUUGGUCAACACAUCAGGCUCAUGACCUGAAGACUACAUGUUCGAAUCGUGUCCUCGCCU